UUUCCCCUUUCCUUAUUUAGAACAGGGUACUGAGUUUCUGCUCUUGUAUUUUCGUUUCUCGCAGGAGUGAGAUGUAUUAGUGUACUAGAUUGGCUGUGAUUCUAAAUCAAGAAAAAAAUGAGGCGAACACCGACGGAUUUCCGACGGCCUGUGAGGAGGAGAUUUUCGAAGGCAUUCUGGUUGACAUUAUUUGGUUUGGCCAUUCUGCUUUUCAUUGUGAUUUUUAGCCAGGACAAGCAACCAGGAUCCAAAGCCGCAUUGGCUUAGGGUCUUCCAAAAAUAACUCAUAAAUUUCACAUCACGAU
This is a long non-coding RNA of Telopea speciosissima, 305 nucleotides long. RefSeq lists it as uncharacterized. The record is from RefSeq and is a predicted model, not a curated record. NCBI's taxonomy places the organism in Eukaryota, Viridiplantae, Streptophyta, Magnoliopsida, Proteales, Proteaceae. The transcript is spliced from 2 exons.